RNAcentral lists this ribosomal RNA (779 nucleotides) under uncultured bacterium. Its description in RNAcentral is "bacterial SSU rRNA". It matches the Rfam family "Bacterial small subunit ribosomal RNA", at positions 28 to 774 of the family's 1533-position model. The record is from RNAcentral.
GACGAACGCUGGCGGCGUGGAUAAGGCAUGCAAGUCGAACGCGAACGGAGUAACUAAUUCGUUAGAAGCUCCUAGUAGAGUGGCGAACGGGUGAGUAACGCGUGGAUAACGUGCCUCUCAGUGGGGAAUAACACAGGGAAACUUGUGCUAAUACCGCAUACGUCCUUCCGACCCAGUUGGAAUGAUGAAAGGUGGGGACCUUCGGGCCUGCCGCUGAGAGAUCGGUCCGCGUCCCAUUAGCUUGUUGGUGGGGUAAUGGCCUACCAAGGCUCUGAUGGGUAGCCGGCCUGAGAGGGUGACCGGCCACACUGGGAUUGAGAUACGGCCCAGACUCCUUCGGGAGGCAGCAGUCGAGAAUCUUCCACAAUGGACGAAAGUCUGAUGGAGCGACGCCGCGUGAGUGAUGAAGGCCCUACGGGUUGUAAAACUCUGUCAGGAGAGAAGAACCGCCGGGGUGCCAAUACCACCCUGGUCUGACGUUAUCUCCAGAGGAAGCUCCGGCUAACUCCGUGCCAGCAGCCGCGGUAAUACGGGGGGAGCAAGCGUUGUCCGGAAUUAUUGGGCGUAAAGGGCGUGUAGGCGGCCUGGUCAGUCGAAUGUGAAAUCCCACGGCUCAACCGUGGAAUUGCGUUCGAUACUGCCUGGCUUGAGUAUGUGAGAGGUGUGCGGAAUUCCUGGUGUAGCGGUGGAAUGCGUAGAUAUCAGGAAGAACACCGAUGGCGAAGGCAGCACACUGGCGCAAUACUGACGCUGAGGCGCGAAAGCGUGGGGAGCAAACA